UUCAGACAAUCAACAACAAUUUACCCUGCAAAACUUAAUUCAAAUGUCACACGCAGCAGCAGUAGAAGUUCCAGAAUAAAUCAAAAAAGGAUCGCAUAUUAAAUGCAUGUUCAAUGUGCUAAACAACUUGAAAUUUACAAUUCCCCUGGGUACCGAGCGGAGUGGAGUGUGGCGCCUGUAAAUUGGAAAGCAAAAAUGACGCAGCCACGCACAAGGCAACAUCUACAGCAGCAACAGCAGCAGCAGAAACAAAAAGAGAAAAAACAACAACAGCAACAACAACAACAACAAGAACAAAUGCAACAAAAUAUACAACAACUUAAACAAGAACAAAAACUGCAAUUAGAGUCAACUACAAAGGGCCGGCAACGAUACAGAGUGGUGGCAAUAGAGGCAGCAGCAGUGCCAGUAGAGCAAAAAUGAAGCAAAAACCAAAGGAAGAAGAAACGAAAAAUUUUCCACACAAAUUUGCAUUCAACCAAAGAAAUACAAAAGUCUAAAACAAAGGGAAAAAGGAAGCCAAGCACAUACAAACACACACACACACACACACACACGCACUGACAGCACGGACGACGGGAUAUUGUACAAAAAGGAAGUUGUGCGCCAUCCAACAAAAACAAAAACAAAAAAAAAAGGGGUCAGAGGGCAAGGCAGACACACAGCAGCAGCAGCAGCA
This is a long non-coding RNA of Drosophila obscura, 679 nucleotides long. RefSeq lists it as uncharacterized. The record is from RefSeq and is a predicted model, not a curated record. The transcript is spliced from 3 exons. Lineage: Eukaryota; Metazoa; Arthropoda; Insecta; Diptera; Drosophilidae.